AUUGAACGCUGGCGGCAUGCCUUACACAUGCAAGUCGAACGGUAACGGGCCUUCGGGUGCCGACGAGUGGCGAACGGGUGAGUAAUACAUCGGAACGUGCCCGAUCGUGGGGGAUAACGAGGCGAAAGCUUUGCUAAUACCGCAUACGAUCUACGGAUGAAAGCAGGGGACCGCAAGGCCUUGCGCGGACGGAGCGGCCGAUGGCAGAUUAGGUAGUUGGUGGGAUAAAAGCUUACCAAGCCGACGAUCUGUAGCUGGUCUGAGAGGAUGAUCAGCCACACCGGGACUGAGACACGGCCCAGACUCCUACGGGAGGCAGCAGUGGGGAAUUUUGGACAAAGGGCGCAAGCCUGAUCCAGCCAUGCCGCGUGCAGGAUGAAGGCCUUCGGGUUGUAAACUGCUUUUGUACGGAACGAAAAGCCUUCUUUUAAUACAGGAGGGUCAUGACGGUACCGUAAGAAUAAGCACCGGCUAACUACGUG
Molecule: ribosomal RNA, 482 nt
Filed under: uncultured bacterium
Lineage: Bacteria
Description: partial 16S ribosomal RNA
Rfam family: Bacterial small subunit ribosomal RNA
Source: RNAcentral